This 475-nucleotide ribosomal RNA is filed under the name uncultured organism. RNAcentral's name for it is "partial 16S ribosomal RNA". It matches the Rfam family "Bacterial small subunit ribosomal RNA", at positions 332 to 799 of the family's 1533-position model. The record is from RNAcentral.
UACACUCCUGCGGGAGGCAGCAGUAGGGAAUCUUCCCCAAUGGGUGCAAACCUGAUGGAGCAAUGCCGCGUGAGUGAAGAAGGUCUUCGGAUCGUAAAGCUCUGUUGUUAGAGAAGAACACGUGCUAGGUAACUACUAGCGCCUUGACGGUAUCUAACCAGAAAGUCACGGCUAACUACGUGCCAGCAGCCGCGGUAAUACGUAGGUGACAAGCGUUGUCCGGAUUUAUUGGGCGUAAAGGGAGCGCAGGCGGUCUGUUUAGUCUAAUGUGAAAGCCCACGGCUUAACCGUGGAACGGCAUUGGAAACUGACAGACUUGAAUGUAGAAGAGGAAAAUGGAAUUCCAAGUGUAGCGGUGGAAUGCGUAGAUAUUUGGAGGAACACCAGUGGCGAAGGCGAUUUUCUGGUCUAACAUUGACGCUGAGGCUCGAAAGCGUGGGGAGCGAACAGGAUUAGAAACCCUGGUAGUCCCAUG